This 305-nucleotide ribosomal RNA is filed under the name uncultured bacterium. Its description in RNAcentral is "partial 16S ribosomal RNA". It matches the Rfam family "Bacterial small subunit ribosomal RNA", at positions 508 to 807 of the family's 1533-position model. The record is from RNAcentral.
ACAGCAGUCGCCGCGGUAAUACGGAGGGUGCAAGCGUUAAUCGGAAUUACUGGGCGUAAAGCGCACGCAGGCGGUUUGUUGGGUCAGAUGUGAAAUCCCCGAGCUUAACUUGGGAACUGCAUUUGAAACUGGCAAGCUAGAGUCUUGUAGAGGGGGGUAGGAUUCCAGGUGUAGCGGUGAAAUGCGUAGAGAUCGGGAGGAAUACCGGUGGCGAAGGCGGCCACCUGGACAAAGACUGACGCUCAGGUGCGAAAGCGUGGGGAGCAAACAGGAUUAGAUACCCCUGUAGUCCCUGUCUCUUAUAC